UGAUUAGCUAGUUGGUGGGGUAAAGGCCCACCAAGGCGACGAUCAGUAGCCGGCCUGAGAGGGUGAACGGCCACACUGGGACUGAGACACGGCCCAGACUCCUACGGGAGGCAGCAGUGGGGAAUCUUCCGCAAUGGACGAAAGUCUGACGGAGCAACGCCGCGUGUAUGAUGAAGGUCUUCGGAUUGUAAAGUACUGUCUUUGGGGAAGAAUGUCAGGUUUGAAAAUAUUGAGCCUGAAUGACGGUACCCAAGGAGGAA
This 260-nucleotide ribosomal RNA is filed under the name uncultured Desulfosporosinus sp. Its description in RNAcentral is "partial 16S ribosomal RNA". It matches the Rfam family "Bacterial small subunit ribosomal RNA", at positions 238 to 489 of the family's 1533-position model. Lineage: Bacteria; Bacillati; Bacillota; Clostridia; Eubacteriales; Desulfitobacteriaceae. The record is from RNAcentral.